Molecule: ribosomal RNA, 473 nt
Filed under: Pseudoxanthomonas japonensis
Lineage: Bacteria; Pseudomonadati; Pseudomonadota; Gammaproteobacteria; Lysobacterales; Lysobacteraceae
Description: bacterial SSU rRNA
Rfam family: Bacterial small subunit ribosomal RNA
Source: RNAcentral
UUAGAUGAGCCGAUGUCCGAUUAGCUAGUUGGCGGGGUAAUGGCCCACCAAGGCGACGAUCGGUAGCUGGUCUGAGAGGAUGAUCAGCCACACUGGAACUGAGACACGGUCCAGACUCCUACGGGAGGCAGCAGUGGGGAAUAUUGGACAAUGGGCGCAAGCCUGAUCCAGCCAUACCGCGUGGGUGAAGAAGGCCUUCGGGUUGUAAAGCCCUUUUGUUGGGAAAGAAAUCCUAUCGGUUAAUAACCGGUGGGGAUGACGGUACCCAAAGAAUAAGCACCGGCUAACUUCGUGCCAGCAGCCGCGGUAAUACGAAGGGUGCAAGCGUUACUCGGAAUUACUGGGCGUAAAGCGUGCGUAGGUGGUGGUUUAAGUCUGCUGUGAAAGCCCUGGGCUCAACCUGGGAAUUGCAGUGGAUACUGGAUCACUAGAGUGUGGUAGAGGGAUGCGGAAUUUCUGGUGUAGCAGUGAAA